CGACUUCGACUUCAAAAUUCCCGAGUCCGAUAGCUGAAGAACCAAAAUCUAUAAAACAGAGAAUCAAAGAAACGGAGUAAGCAUUAAAUGCUUAGUAUGUUUUGAGCAAAGAAUUUAGACACAACCAAAGUAUAGCAUUCACGUAGCUAAACAGAUAAUUUCAUAUGCACAAAUUUUCAAUAUCAUACUUACUUCACAUUACCAA
Molecule: long non-coding RNA, 205 nt
Filed under: Gossypium barbadense (sea-island cotton)
Lineage: Eukaryota; Viridiplantae; Streptophyta; Magnoliopsida; Malvales; Malvaceae
Description: long non-coding RNA (GBAR_LNC005528)
Source: RNAcentral